GCCCUUUCUGGCAGCACAUAUACUAAAAUCAGAACAAUACAGAGAAGAUUAGCAUAGCCCUUUUGCAAGGAUUGUGAAAUGUUCCAUUAAAAAAAAAUCCUAAUGGAG
Molecule: small nuclear RNA, 108 nt
Organism: Alexandromys fortis (reed vole)
Lineage: Eukaryota; Metazoa; Chordata; Mammalia; Rodentia; Cricetidae
Source: RefSeq, a predicted model, not a curated record